Molecule: ribosomal RNA, 509 nt
Filed under: uncultured bacterium
Lineage: Bacteria
Description: bacterial SSU rRNA
Rfam family: Bacterial small subunit ribosomal RNA
Source: RNAcentral
GAUGAACGCUAGCGACAGGCUUAACACAUGCAAGUCGAGGGGCAGCAGGGAGUAGCAAUACUCCGCUGGCGACCGGCGCACGGGUGCGUAACGCGUAUGCAACCUACCCAUAAGAGGGGAAUAACCCGGCGAAAGUCGGACUAAUACCCCAUAACGCAGGGAUCCCGCAUGGGAAUAUUUGCUAAAGGAGUGAUCCGCUUAUGGAUGGGCAUGCGUUCCAUUAGGUAGUUGGUUGGGGUAACGGCCCACCAAGCCUACGAUGGAUAGGGGUUCUGAGAGGAAGGUCCCCCACACUGGUACUGAGACACGGACCAGACUCCUACGGGAGGCAGCAGUGAGGAAUAUUGGUCAAUGGACGAGAGUCUGAACCAGCCAAGUCGCGUGAAGGAUGACUGCCCUACGGGUUGUAAACUUCUUUUAUGGGGGAAUAAGAAAAGCCACGUGUGGCUUAGUGCAUGUACCCCACGAAUAAGCAUCGGCUAACUCCGUGCCAGCAGCCGCCGUAAAAC